CCUACGGGAGGCAGCAGUGGGGAAUAUUGGACAAUGGGGGCAACCCUGAUCCAGCCAUGCCGCGUGUGUGAAGAAGGCCCUCGGGUUGUAAAGCACUUUCAGUGAGGAAGAACGCCUGGUGGUUAAUACCCAUCAGGAAAGACAUCACUCACAGAAGAAGCACCGGCUAACUCCGUGCCAGCAGCCGCGGUAAUACGGAGGGUGCGAGCGUUAAUCGGAAUUACUGGGCGUAAAGCGCGCGUAGGUGGCUUGAUAAGCCGGUUGUGAAAGCCCCGGGCUCAACCUGGGAACGGCAUCCGGAACUGUCAAGCUAGAGUGAAGGAGAGGAAGGUAGAAUUCCCGGUGUAGCGGUGAAAUGCGUAGAGAUCGGGAGGAAUACCAGUGGCGAAGGCGGCCUUCUGGACUGACACUGACACUGAGGUGCGAAAGCGUGGGUAGCAAACAGGAUUAGAUACCCCGGUAGUC
Molecule: ribosomal RNA, 465 nt
Filed under: Vreelandella stevensii
Lineage: Bacteria; Pseudomonadati; Pseudomonadota; Gammaproteobacteria; Oceanospirillales; Halomonadaceae
Description: partial 16S ribosomal RNA
Rfam family: Bacterial small subunit ribosomal RNA
Source: RNAcentral